RNAcentral lists this ribosomal RNA (251 nucleotides) under uncultured bacterium. RNAcentral describes it as "partial 16S ribosomal RNA". It matches the Rfam family "Bacterial small subunit ribosomal RNA", at positions 524 to 776 of the family's 1533-position model. The record is from RNAcentral.
UACAGAGGGUGCAAGCGUUAAUCGGAAUUACUGGGCGUAAAGCGUGCGUAGUCGGUUAUCUAAGUCGGGUGUGAAAUCCCCGGGCUCAACCUGGGAAUUGCGAUGGAGACUGCAAGGCUAGAAUCUGGCAGAGGGGGUAGAAUUCCACGUGUAGCAGUGAAAUGCGUAGAGAUGUGGAGGAACACCGAUGGCGAAGGCAGCCCCUGGGUCAAGAUUGACGCUCAUGCACGAAAGCGUGGGGAGCAAACAGG